Cercocebus atys (sooty mangabey) is the source of this 1015-nucleotide long non-coding RNA. RefSeq lists it as uncharacterized. Lineage: Eukaryota; Metazoa; Chordata; Mammalia; Primates; Cercopithecidae. The transcript has 3 exons. The record is from RefSeq and is a predicted model, not a curated record.
AUGAUUAUGAGACCUCCCCAACCAUGUGGAACUAGUCACUGUGGAUCAGAAGUACAGGCUCACUUUUACUGGAUCAUCGGCUCAAACUCACAAGGAUGAGAACAUUAAGGCACUUUUGAAACGGCCUCCGAUGGGAAGGUGAGAUCAGAAAUACGCCUGUGGAACCCUCUACAUGCGGAUCUGGCAAGUAUUCAACACAAACGCAAUUAGAGGGCUUACCCUUGCAUGAAAUAUUUGCUUUCCUGAUAGUCACCAACUUUAAACUUUAGGAAUGCCAAGGCAUAGUGUUUCUGUAUCAGAACUGGAAUCCUCUACUUCAUUUUCUUCAGUUAUUAUUUUUGAAGUUUGCAUAUAGUAUUAAAGUCCCACCAAACAAUAAAUGGGAAAGGAUGAUUUUAUUAAAAAUCCUCUUGAGACAACUGCACCUGCCCUGGCUAUUCUUUGACCAGGGUCAGAGAAGUUGCAGCAUGCACACUCACCCAGAGGUACUUGAGAGCAUUGUUGAUGUAUUCAAUGAAUAUUGAAUGCUAGAGUGAAUCUACACUGGGCUUAGAUCAGCAUAAAUCUCCACAGCUCACCUUCAGUGGUGGACACAGACAACUAAACAGGAAAUUCCAAAAUCAUUCAUAAAAGAACCUGAUCUUCUGUACCCCUCCCUCUCCCAAAGUUGCCACAAAUAAAGGAAAACUAAAUAAGAAUAUUUGUUUUACUUUGAGCAAGAUGAAAAUAUUUCAAAGGCACACAUUUGGUCAGCUCAUUGAUUCUUAUAAAGAAAUAUCUAUAUAUACCAUGUAUUAUAUAGUUAAGUAUUUAAGUUCUGAAACCCGAAGAAAGUUGUAACUGUUUUUUUUUUUUUUCUUUCACCCUAAAUAAGUUAAAAAUGACUGUAGUGUUAUAUAGUCAUUGAGGUCAGUCAACAUUUUUUAUUCUGUUUGGAACUUAAUUGUUGUAGCCUAUUCCUGCUGCUGUAAUAAAAUACCACAGACUGGGUAAUUUCUAAACAAUAGAAAUGUAU